CUCCAGUCCUUCCCCUACACCUUUCCUGUGCACACCCCUUUAAUGAAGUGUAAAAAUAGAUAUCUUUUGUGAUAUGUUUCUACACUUUCCUAAUGAGCAACGUAAUAACACUUUUAGUUUCAUCAUUGGUCUGCAACAACCACCCUAGCUGUCCUUGCCUUUCUCCAGAUUAGCUUCAGAGCACCACAGUUAUCCUGCCAGCCACCCCACAGUUGCCUAAGAAAAUAUUUGCAUGUCCAUACAUUUUCUGCUAUCUAACACUGUGUGUAUGAAACUCACUCUUAGAAGACAUUUCUCUGGCAGCCUGGAAAAUGCCAGUAUUCCUGUGUGCAAUGAGGAUAAAUGAAGAUUUACUUCUUGCUUGUCAUUUCUCUGGAGUGUUCAGCAUGGAAGGAGAUUGCUAAUGCUUGUCUGGUCCCCUAUGGACCACUGCCUUCCGCACAAGGAAAGGCUGGCAGCACAUGGAGGAAAAUCAUGCAACUCUUCUUCCGUAGGGAUGACUCCUCUGGGAGAAGGUUGGGGCGCACGGGCACAGUGUUGGGAGGGAAGUCUUUCUCUGUUGCAGAGGAGAAGUAGAGGAUUUUGGUGUUCAUGACCUUUUACCUGGCUGCUCUCUUCAACCCACAGUCCUAAAAAAUUAAUUGUCUGGAAAAGAUAUGAAACAGGAUUGAGUUCCUCAAAGGGACUCUCCUCUCGGCUGCUACAGGAUCUGCUGACUGCACACAUUCUGUCCUCUCUCUUGCCUGGCUCCCAGUUAUCUCCUUCCCUCCUCGAAAGUUUAUGAUUUUACUUUUGUGAAAUUUCUUAGCUUCUCACUUGGGGACUGAAGGAUGUUUCAUGAGCAGAAAUGGAGCAAAUGACUUUCCCUAUAACAGAUGAUACUGGAUAUCAACAAACAAAGAAAAAAAAAAAGAUAUGAAGUUCUUCGUAACAGUUUUUCAGAGGGUAAAUGGGAACCCAUUUUGGAGAAGGAGUUCUCUGAUAUCUUUAGCAAAGUCUGCCUAAGAACAGUAUCUGCACAGCUAAGACAGUGAUUUACUAAUAUAUUGAUCUGAUUGAUAGUCCAUAAAUACUUUCUAUUACAGAACAGGAGAUGUUAUACAAAGAAGAAACCACUCCACAAUGCAAAUAAUUCUCUGUGCAAAGACUGUUGGUGGUGAUGAGUUUCCUAUUUAGAAUCAAAGCAUCAUUAAGGUUGGAAAAGACUACUAAGAUCAUCCAGUCCAACCCCAACCCAUCCCCACCAUGCCUACUAAUCAUGUCCCUCAGUGCCACAUCUCCAAGGCUUUUGAACACAUGCAGGGAUAGUAAAAAACAAAAACAAAAACAAACAAACAAAAAAACCCCUACAAAAUUUACUACUACUACUACAGAUAUGAGUGCUAGUGGCACGUUUUUCAUCUAUGAUAGAUGAAAGAGGAGACCUCUCAUCAGACAUCGGGCUAACAUAAACUAUCAGGGGGAAAUUAGUGACUUCAAUAUGGAGGAAUGAGAACCUGACCAGGAAUAGAGGGUGACUGGAAGGGAUCAUUGUAAGAAGACUUUUAUGCCAAAAAUCAAAUGGUGACAGAGCCGGUUUCAAAGAAGACAGUAUCGAGAGACUGUACUACCACUCUUCGUUAUUUCAAAGAAAGUGGUAUGCUGGCAUGAUGAUUCUUGGUAAAGAAAGACAAAAAGGGCAACUGGAAAGUGGAAAACAUGAAAGCUCCUAGGCAUGCAGUGGAGGAUUAAUCUGGAGUGUUGCCUUCAUCAUUGUAAAAUACCUGUGGUGCUGGAUUCCCCUGCUCUUUCUCCCUCUUCCCCCAGUAAAGUCAGCCUCCUGAUUUCUAAAGCAUAUUAUUUACUAGGUUCAAAAAUUAUGUAUGUACUUGCAUAUCCUUUUAAUUAGCCUAGAAAUACAUAUUUCUAUAUUACUAACAACUGAAGCGUUCAGCUCCCCUACCCUCCACCCCUCAACAAACAACCAAAUGAGAAAAAAAACCCCUCAGUUUUAUUUUCUGGAAUUUUGGGCCUGUUUCUCAUUUGUACUGGGGAUGCUUCCUAUCAUCAAACAGUAUGAGGGCACUGACAGGGAGUGGGCAUGUAAUUCAUGCUUGUCAUGCUGUGAAAUACUACUUGGAAGGUGGGAAAAAGCCUUCUCCUGAGUGUUUUUCAUUUAUUAUCCAUAAUGUUCCUAUUUCUAGAAGCCCAGGUCCUUCAUGGGGUUGUGACUGCAACAGAAGCUGUAUAAAUGAAGCACUAUUGGAAAUCAAGGGCUUCAACAUCUUUUUGUUUCUCCUUAUACGAGUGUAUGGGUAUAUAUUACUUUUGGCAGAUGCUCUCUGAAUUUUUUAAUUUCCCUUACCACUUACCUAAAGCAACCCUCUGAGAUAAUUUUUCAUGUCAGCAGCUAAUCUGAUCUAUCGGAGAGCGCGUUACUAAACUUCCUAUACAAAUCUGCUCAGUUUCCACAGUGCUCUUUAAAAAUCUCAAUCUCUCUCUCUGUUACCAAUGUCUACACCUGAAAGAUGCAAUUAGUUAUUAGCCAACAGCAGAUACCAGAUAUUACAGAUCAAUUUCUUUGAGCCUUAUUCUCCAUUCAGGAACAUAAACAAGCUGCAGUCCUCCAUAACUUCUGGUUGCACAAAGGAUAAAAACAUAUUCAGUUGCAAGACACUACUGUGCUGAGCACCCCAGGUCUGAUCAUGCUUUUCAUCCAUCUCAGUCCUUGCUUUAGCCAAACUAAAUGCUUCCUGAUCUGCAUGACCAGAAAAUGGCUACAGGGUAAAAGGAUUUUUGCUUUUGGGUCUGUUCCCUGAGUUGAUUUAUGGUACCUCUUUGUCCAUCUAUGCAGUAGACAGAAAUGCAUUGCUCUCCUCUUCAACCUAGACCCUUCAGUGUGAUCCUACUGCUUUCUGUGCUGCAUUGCCGACAUACCUUUAGACCACAAAUCCUUCCUAAGCUACCAGGAUUCUCCACCAAGUUCAGUAUUUCACAUUCUUCUUUGUCCACUGGGAAACUGAACUUCCAAUUAAAUUGACAUUAUUAUGAAGAACAGUUUCUUCGUCUUAAACGUUUGCCCUAAAAAUAAAGUGACAUUUUCUUUUUUGUUGUUGUUGUUUGUUUGCCUGAAAAUUAAAACUCUAUUUUUUUUUUCCUCUGGCUGGAAAACAUUCAUUUCACUCAAAUGUUUCCUCAAGAGUACCCCCUGCUUUCACACUUCAGUGAGCUGUCAUCUCCACAUUUAAUGUCAAAUUAAAACAAAACCUUUGUUGUGAACAUUCGUGAACUCUAAUGUUUCAGCCAAAGUCCUGAUCACAGUUUUAUAAUUUGAGCUAAACUCUGCAAACAUAAAUAACACUCACUUAGGGAUCAUUUAACUGUUUGUGAACACUUGUGGGUGCCUUGAGCUAGGCUGUGUUUAAACUGGAAUACUUUCAUUGCAUUAUGUUUCUCCAAUAGAUUAUCGACUCUUACCAUUCCAAUGGAAUGAUUCCCCAAAAUGAAAACAGAACUCAGCUGCACUUCACAGUUCCCUGAGAAAGUUAUGAUACCGUGGCCUAAUUUCACCAUCCACUGUAUUAUACCUUUCUAUACGAAAGCAAUAGCAGGAUUCGUAGCCUCAAAGCCCACUACUCAAAAGGGAAUAGUGUAACAUUCCUACAGUUUAUGCCUGUUUCAUUAAUUAAUUAAUGAAUUCCCCACUCAGAUUUUUAAUUUUUGGCAGCAGGAAGCUGACAUUCUGAACUGCUAAUGGUGGCCAACUCUCCAUAGCAUCCAUCAUCUCUUUAUAUAGUUAGUCUUUGAUGUCAAGGAAGCUCAGAGCUUUUCGCCUUUACAAUUCUGUAUGAUUUCCACAGUGCUCAUAUUAGAAAAUUCAGCUGAUAUGAAAAAUUGAUAAAGUACAGACUAGGUCAGCAGUUGUUUUAUC
Molecule: long non-coding RNA, 3910 nt
Organism: Gallus gallus (chicken)
Lineage: Eukaryota; Metazoa; Chordata; Aves; Galliformes; Phasianidae
Source: Ensembl